Long non-coding RNA from Mustela lutreola (European mink), 139 nucleotides. RefSeq lists it as uncharacterized. NCBI's taxonomy places the organism in Eukaryota, Metazoa, Chordata, Mammalia, Carnivora, Mustelidae. The transcript has 2 exons. The record is from RefSeq and is a predicted model, not a curated record.
ACUUACUUGGUUUCUCACUUCUGAUAUUCCCCCUCAUUUAAGCCCAGUCUGGAUCUUUCCUUAACUUUAUGAAAGAGUGAUUACAUGCUGGAGAAGGCCAACUUUGAACUCUAAAGAUGAAAUAAAUCUACAUUCCAGG